Molecule: ribosomal RNA, 251 nt
Filed under: uncultured bacterium
Lineage: Bacteria
Description: partial 16S ribosomal RNA
Rfam family: Bacterial small subunit ribosomal RNA
Source: RNAcentral
UACGAAGGGGCUAGCGUUGCUCGGAAUUACUGGGCGUAAAGCGCACGUAGGCGGCUUUCUAAGUCGGGGUGAAAUCCUGGAGCUCAACUCCAGAACUGCCUUCGAUACUGGAAAGCUCGAGUCCGGGAGAGGUGAGUGGAACUGCGAGUGUAGAGGUGAAAUUCGUAGAUAUUCGCAAGAACACCAGUGGCGAAGGCGGCUCACUGGCCCGGUACUGACGCUGAGGUGCGAAAGCGUGGGGAGCAAACAGG